This 557-nucleotide ribosomal RNA is filed under the name uncultured bacterium. Its description in RNAcentral is "partial 16S ribosomal RNA". It matches the Rfam family "Bacterial small subunit ribosomal RNA", at positions 345 to 894 of the family's 1533-position model. The record is from RNAcentral.
GAGGCAGCAGUGGGGAAUAUUGCACAAUGGGCGCAANCCUGAUGCAGCCAUGCCGCGUGUAUGAAGAAGGCCUUCGGGUUGUAAAGUACUUUCANCGGGGAGNANNGUGUUGCGGUUAAUAACCGCAGCAAUUGACGUUACCCGCAGAAGAAGCACNNNNNAACUCCGUGCCAGCAGCCGCGGUAAUACGGAGGGNGCNANCGUUAAUCGGAAUUACUGGGCGUAAAGCGCACGCAGGCGGUCUGUCAAGUNGNAUGUGAAAUCCCCGGGCUCAACCUGGGAACUGCAUUCGAAACUGGCAGGCUAGAGUCUUGUAGAGGGGGGUAGAAUUCCAGGUGUAGCGGUGAAAUGCGUAGAGAUNUGGAGGAAUACCGGUGGCGAAGGCGGCCCCCUGGACAAAGACUGACGCUCAGGUGNGAAAGCGUGGGGAGCAAACAGGAUUAGAUACCCUGGUAGUCCACGCCGUAAACGAUGUCGACUUGGAGGUUGUUCCCUUGAGGAGUGGCUUCCGGAGCUAACGCGUUAAGUCGACCGCNUGGGGAGUACGGCCGCAAGGU